GACGAACGCUGGCGGCGUGCCUAACACAUGCAAGUCGAGCGGAGGCGCCUGAAGAGCAAUCGGAGGGUGUCUGAGCGGCGGACGGGUGAGUAACGCGUGAGCGAUCUGCCUUUCACAGGGGGAUAACGCAGCGAAAGCUGCACUAAUACCGCAUGAGACCACGGUACUGAUGGUACAGGGGUCAAAGGAGAGAUCCGGUGAGAGAUGAGCUCGCGUCCGAUUAGGUAGUUGGUGAGGUAACGGCCCACCAAGCCAAUGAUCGGUAGCCGGCCUGAGAGGGUGAAAGGCCACAUGGGGACUGAGAGACGGUCCACACUCCUACGGGAGGCAGCAGUGGGGAAUAUUGGGCAAUGGGGGAAACCCUGACCCAGCACCGCCGCGUGAGGGAAGAAGGUUUUCGGAUUGUAAACCUCUGUUCUUGGAGAAGAGAAGAAGACGGUAGCCAAGGAGGAAGCCCCGGCUAACUACGUGCCAGCCGCCGCGGUAA
RNAcentral lists this ribosomal RNA (487 nucleotides) under uncultured bacterium. Its description in RNAcentral is "partial 16S ribosomal RNA". It matches the Rfam family "Bacterial small subunit ribosomal RNA", at positions 28 to 523 of the family's 1533-position model. The record is from RNAcentral.